CCGGCCGGGGGAGCCGGCCCAGGCGUCCGACUCCGCGGGGGAGGAGGCGCAGUGGGAGAACUGCGUCCUGGGAGGGAGACCAUCGCCGUGUCACGCGGGAGGGGUGAGCUUGCGAGGUCUCGCCUUAGUGCUCACCGGGACCCCUCUCGUUUUACAGAAGGGGAAACUGAGGCCGAGAGAAGGCACCCCAAGGCCACCGUACAAGCCAGAACCAGGACUCCGGGCCACUAGGCUUUCUACCUUUCCACGCCACUGUGCUCCGUGAGCACCAGCUAUUCCUGAAUCUGAGACGGAAGGGGUGGAGGGACAUGCAAGAAGCAGCCAACAAAAUGGCCCUCACAGAGAAGUGCUCACGUGGUGGUGGCUGCUAUGAUGUGCUUACUACGGGUCCUGCCAGAAGUGGCUGUCUGGAAUGGUCCUUGCUUUCUAUAGAAAUGGCUACUUCAGAGCACAACAGUUUCAAAACGUCGCCUCGGGGUCUUCAGCAACCUUAGCUCCUUGAGAGGACUGAUUGGCAAGACACGUUUCCUAGAUGCCAGACAGGAAAUGGAAGCCAAGCACAGGAGUGUUUGGGCUCGCGGUGACCAUCUUCAGCGUCACGCGAGCAUCUGUCUGGCACCUUGCAGGCUGGUGAGGCGAGUGUGAAGCAGCGCGCACUUCAUGGGGUUUCAUAUUUGGAGUGUAGCAAAUGCUACCUAGGACACCGUGCUAUCUGGGUAUGACUUGCUAAGAUGUCAUUGUGUCCAUUUGUCCAUGAGACAUCCCCCCACCCCCGCCCUGUGCUGUAAAGGUGCUGGUCCCCCCCAUGCCCACCCCCAGAUUCUCUGCCUGGAUCCUGGACAGUGGGUCACGUGGCCUCAGGAUGCCAUUGGCUGCAAUCCGGUGGGAAAGGGAGGUAUGGGGGUGGGGGUCCUAGAGGGGAGGAGGGCGUCGGGAGGGGCCGGGUGGCCCCAGAGGGGAUGAAUGAAAGUGAUGGGUAGGGUGCAGAGCUAGGGAGGAAGGUGUCACCAGCUACAUGAGAAUCAACAGCUUGGAGACCCUCUGUCACUCACAGAUCAACCUGCCCGCCCCCCCCCCAAAUGCUUCCAUGUGUUGGUAUCAACUUGUCAUUUUGGAUUUUA
Molecule: long non-coding RNA, 1121 nt
Organism: Leptonychotes weddellii (Weddell seal)
Lineage: Eukaryota; Metazoa; Chordata; Mammalia; Carnivora; Phocidae
Source: RefSeq, a predicted model, not a curated record